GUGAGGAAUUUUCCGCAAUGGGCGAAAGCCUGACGGAGCAAUGCCGCGUGAAGGAUGAAGGCCUAUGGGUUGUAAACUUCUUUUCUCAGAAAAGAAUUAUGACGGUAUCUGAGGAAUAAGCAUCGGCUAACUCUGUGCCAGCAGCCGCGGUAAGACAGAGGAUGCAAGCGUUAUCCGGAAUGAUUGGGCGUAAAGCGUCUGUAGGUUGUUUAAAAAGUAUCCUGUCAAAGAUUCGGGCUUAACCCUAGAUAGGCAGAAUAAACUUUUAAGCUAGAGUUUGGUAGAGGCAGAGGGAAUUCCCGGUGGAGCGGUGAAAUGCGUAGAUAUCGGGAGGAACACCAAAGGCGAAGGCACUCUGCUGGGCCAAUACUAACACUGAGAGACGAAAGCGAGGGGAGCAAAUGGGAUUAGAAACCCGGGUAGUCC
RNAcentral lists this ribosomal RNA (426 nucleotides) under uncultured bacterium. Its description in RNAcentral is "partial 16S ribosomal RNA". It matches the Rfam family "Bacterial small subunit ribosomal RNA", at positions 354 to 796 of the family's 1533-position model. The record is from RNAcentral.